UACGUAGGGUGCGAGCGUUGUCCGGAAUUACUGGGCGUAAAGAGCUCGUAGGUGGUUUGUCGCGUUGUUCGUGAAAACCGGGGGCUUAACCCUCGGCGUGCGGGCGAUACGGGCAGACUUGAGUACUGCAGGGGAGACUGGAAUUCCUGGUGUAGCGGUGGAAUGCGCAGAUAUCAGGAGGAACACCGGUGGCGAAGGCGGUUCUCUGGGAAUAUCCUGACGCUGAGAGGCGAAAGCGUGGGGAGCGAACGGG
This 253-nucleotide ribosomal RNA is filed under the name uncultured bacterium. Its description in RNAcentral is "partial 16S ribosomal RNA". It matches the Rfam family "Bacterial small subunit ribosomal RNA", at positions 524 to 776 of the family's 1533-position model. The record is from RNAcentral.